Molecule: ribosomal RNA, 459 nt
Filed under: uncultured bacterium
Lineage: Bacteria
Description: partial 16S ribosomal RNA
Rfam family: Bacterial small subunit ribosomal RNA
Source: RNAcentral
CCUACGGGUGACAGCAGUGAGGAAUAUUGGUCAAUGGGCGCGAGCCUGAACCAGCCAAGUCGCGUGAGGGAAGACGGUCCCAUGGAUUGUAAACCUCUUUUGUCGGGGGGCAAAAGACGCCACGCGUGGCGUUCCGAGAGUACUCGAAGAAAAAGCAUCGGCUAACUCCGUGCCAGCAGCCGCGGUAAUACGGAGGAUGCGAGCGUUAUCCGGAUUUAUUGGGUUUAAAGGGUGCGCAGGCGGAAGAUCAAGUCAGCGGUAAAAUUGAGGGGCUCAACCUCUUCGAGCCGUUGAAACUGGUUGUCUUGAGUGAGCGAGAGGUAUGCGGAAUGCGUAGUGUAGCGGUGAAAUGCUGAGAUAUCACGCAGAACUCCGAUUGCGAAGGCAGCAUACCGGCGCUCAACUGACGCUCAUGCACGAAAGUGUGGGUAUCGAACAGGAUUAGAUACCCUUGUAGUC